This 425-nucleotide ribosomal RNA is filed under the name uncultured bacterium. RNAcentral describes it as "partial 16S ribosomal RNA". It matches the Rfam family "Bacterial small subunit ribosomal RNA", at positions 354 to 796 of the family's 1533-position model. The record is from RNAcentral.
GUGGGGAAUCUUAGACAAUGGGGGAAACCCUGAUCUAGCCAUGCCGCGUGAGCGAUGAAGGCCUUAGGGUUGUAAAGCUCUUUCAGUGGGGAAGAUAAUGACGGUACCCACAGAAGAAGCCCCGGCUAACUCCGUGCCAGCAGCCGCGGUAAUACGGAGGGGCCUAGCGUUGUUCGGAAUUACUGGGCGUAAAGCGCACGUAGGCGGAUCGGAAAGUUGGGGGUGAAAUCCCAGGGCUCAACCCUGGAACUGCCUUCAAAACUAUCGGUCUGGAGUCCGAGAGAGGUGAGUGGAAUUCCGAGUGUAGAGGUGAAAUUCGUAGAUAUUCGGAGGAACACCAGUGGCGAAGGCGGCUCACUGGCUCGGUACUGACGCUGAGGUGCGAAAGCGUGGGGAGCAAACAGGAUUAGAAACCCCAGUAGUCC